GAGCGCUAAAACAGCCACCAAAGCGAGUAAAAGUGGCGAACAACGUAUGAACACACGUUUCCUCGAGUUUGCCAGAGCCGCGAAUUUCCCAUUCUAUCCCGGCCCAACUUGAAUAAAAGAAGAAGCUUGUUCAGAAUCUAAAAUGCAUAGGAUGGACAUGAAGAUGCAUCAAAAAAAUAUCACAUUCAGCGCCUCGAAAUAUAGAAAGCAUGCUUAUUAACCAGACGAACAUCGCAUUGCCCAGCGGAUACCGGUACCGCUACUGCUACCGGUACUACCAGCAGUUUUUGCUUCGCCUACAAACUAGCCCUCCCCCGAGAUUCAAACGGC
This 330-nucleotide small RNA is filed under the name Histoplasma capsulatum. Its description in RNAcentral is "hypothetical RNA". Lineage: Eukaryota; Fungi; Ascomycota; Eurotiomycetes; Onygenales; Ajellomycetaceae. RNAcentral also lists the same sequence under 1 other name. The record is from RNAcentral.